GAACCCUACACAAGUGACUAGCUAUAGCAAUCACAAUUGUCUCAAUGUCUUUGUUGAAAUCCAUUCUUGUAGCCAUGCUCAUUGCUAUUUUCGUUCUUGGUGUGAGCAGCAGCCAACACUGUCUAGGACCUUGCGAUGAAUUUCCUCACUGUGCAUGGUUCUGCGAGAAAUUGGGUUAUGAUAUUGGGAUGUGCGUUCCACCUGAUAAUUACUUCUGUUGUUGUGCCAAGAAGGAUUGAAGCGGUUAAUCUUAAAUAAGUGAUUUUCUAGAUUUAAAUAAAUGAUUUUAGGAGUUUGGUUAUAAUGUCUAUACAUGUUUUUUCUUGAUGGUAGUAUUUGAAUUUGCGAUUGUGAUGCUACAAUUGUAUUUCUUGGCUCAAUUUCAAUAUGUAUUUAUAGACUUCAUUGCUCAAUAAUAAUAUAAUAAUUUUACAAGUUA
Long non-coding RNA from Lathyrus oleraceus (garden pea), 439 nucleotides. RefSeq lists it as uncharacterized. Lineage: Eukaryota; Viridiplantae; Streptophyta; Magnoliopsida; Fabales; Fabaceae. The transcript has 2 exons. The record is from RefSeq and is a predicted model, not a curated record.